Molecule: ribosomal RNA, 602 nt
Filed under: Staphylococcus pseudintermedius
Lineage: Bacteria; Bacillati; Bacillota; Bacilli; Caryophanales; Staphylococcaceae
Description: partial 23S ribosomal RNA
Rfam family: Bacterial large subunit ribosomal RNA
Source: RNAcentral
GAAAUUCCAAUCGAACUUGGAGAUAGCUGGUUCUCUCCGAAAUAGCUUUAGGGCUAGCCUCAAGUGAUGAUUAUUGGAGGUAGAGCACUGUUUGGACGAGGGGCCCCUCUCGGGUUACCGAAUUCAGACAAACUCCGAAUGCCAAAUAAUUUAACUUGGGAGUCAGAAUGUGGGUGAUAAGGUCCAUAUUCGAAAGGGAAACAGCCCAGACCACCAGCUAAGGUCCCAAAAUAUAUGUUAAGUGGAAAAGGAUGUGGCGUUGCCCAGACAACUAGGAUGUUGGCUUAGAAGCAGCCAUCAUUUAAAGAGUGCGUAAUAGCUCACUAGUCGAGUGACACUGCGCCGAAAAUGUACCGGGGCUAAACAUAUUACCGAAGCUGUGGAUUGUCCUUUGGACAAUGGUAGGAGAGCGUUCUAAGGGCGUUGAAGCAUGAUCGCAAGGACAUGUGGAGCGCUUAGAAGUGAGAAUGCCGGUGUGAGUAGCGAAAGACGGGUGAGAAUCCCGUCCACCGAUUGACUAAGGUUUCCAGAGGAAGGCUCGUCCGCUCUGGGUUAGUCGGGUCCUAAGCUGAGGCCGACAGGCGUAGGCGAUGGAUAACAGG